AACAUCCCCUCAUGUCCAUCACUGGGCUCUGAUCACCCCGAGACACAGUGCCCCCCCACCAGGACCUUUGACCCCUGGGAUCUGAGGAGCCC
Small nucleolar RNA from Choloepus didactylus (southern two-toed sloth), 92 nucleotides. The record is from RefSeq and is a predicted model, not a curated record. Lineage: Eukaryota; Metazoa; Chordata; Mammalia; Pilosa; Megalonychidae.